GGGAGGUUGAGUUGCUCGGGCUCUGACUCUAUCUAUUCGGCGUGGAGGGGAGGUUGUGUUGCUCUGGCUCUAUCUAUCUGGCGUGGAGAGGAGGUUGUGUUGCUCUGGCUCUAUCUAUCUGGCGUUGAGAGGAGAUCGUGUUGCUCUUGCUCUAUCGGUUUGGCGACGCCUGGAAGCUGCUUGACAUCCUCCUGGAUCCACCUUCUCACAUAUGUUCACAUUAUAUGUAUUAUUUUUUGUCAUAUGGAUUGUCUAUGUUGUAUUUUCAUCAUG
Sebastes umbrosus (honeycomb rockfish) is the source of this 273-nucleotide long non-coding RNA. RefSeq lists it as uncharacterized. The record is from RefSeq and is a predicted model, not a curated record. NCBI's taxonomy places the organism in Eukaryota, Metazoa, Chordata, Actinopteri, Perciformes, Sebastidae. The transcript is spliced from 3 exons.